Oreochromis niloticus (Nile tilapia) is the source of this 1310-nucleotide long non-coding RNA. RefSeq lists it as uncharacterized. Lineage: Eukaryota; Metazoa; Chordata; Actinopteri; Cichliformes; Cichlidae. The transcript is spliced from 5 exons. The record is from RefSeq and is a predicted model, not a curated record.
GUUUGGUGAAGUCAUAUUGCAAGUGGACUCUGAAGUUCAUGUCCUCCACAGAGUGAACCACAAUGUUGAUGAACUGCAUGCAGGCCACCUGGAAACAUAUUUCACUGCCCAUUAUUAACCUGAUGUCACACCAGAGAGACAGAUGCAGCAGUGGUAGUGUUUGUAUUAGUCGUAUCUGCAGAAGUACCUUGGGUUCCUGUUGUUGAGGCUGAGAGCAAUUUCAUUGACGGCGUGAGGAUGAGACAUCACCAUGUUGAAGCCGUACUGAUGAAGAUGAGGACACAGGUGAAGAUUAAGUUACCUGGUAGUUCAUGAUGGCUCUCAGACACAUAAUACAAACGUGAACAUCAUCUUUCUUGCACACGAGUCGUGAGUUCUUGAGAGUUCGACGACUCGGCAGCGUGUUGGAUCGAGUCACCAGAGUCGAACUACAAACAGAAACUUCACGUUAGCGCGCCUAGACCUGAACAAACUGGAUCAGCAUUACCAGAGUCCUGGAUCACCCAGUAAAUCUCUGAUGAGUUAAGCGUACAGAGAAAGGGCCCCAAGUGAAGUCAGGUGAGUGACCGUAUAACAAACUGUUGUCUGUCAUGCCCAGUCUAAUUCUCUGGUUUUCUGAUAUAUUCUAACCUAAACCCUGUCUAAUGUUCUCAAAGGGGGGCCAUCACCACAGUUUAGUGUCUUUGAAAGGGUCAAAGGGAUUGCAGUUAGCUCGUCAGUCGUGCUGUAAAGUUUCUGAAUCAUUUUGCGCAGUGUGCCAGCUAAUUAUUGUGCACAUCUCCUGGCACAGCUAUACUGUGCUGUGACAUUCAUAGAGAACCCAAACUUUAUGGAUUUUAGUCUUCAAGGAGCACAAAUACACGAGAACCACCGCUAGCUAACAUUUAGCUCAAUGAAUCUAUAAACAACUCCUGCUGGUGAUGUAGGGGUACUGUGUCAGAUCUUCCUGCUUCUUCUUCUUCAUCGCUUCUCAGAAAAGUGUGUUUCCUGGCUUUGGUCUCAUCAGGUUUGUUCCUGGCUUCUGUGCCCAUCACAUGAGGAUAAAUCGCAGGCUGGGGCCCUCAGGCCAUCUGACCUUCAUCAAACACAGGCCAGCUACAGAUGGGAGAGCAAAGUUUUACAUGUUCAGCAUAUUUUUGAGUUGGAGACAAACAUCAGGUCUUAAACUUCGGAUCCAGACAGAUUCAGACCAAGAUCCGUGUCUCCUGAGCCAGACUACAUCACAGUUUACAGAAUGAACCUGCAGAACUACAGACCUCUAGAACCAAAGACCACAAGAGAAGUGACCUGGAGAACCAGAAAUCCAAAGA